Molecule: RNase P RNA, 207 nt
Filed under: Candidatus Thioglobus sp.
Lineage: Bacteria; Pseudomonadati; Pseudomonadota; Gammaproteobacteria; Pseudothioglobaceae (SeqCode)
Description: partial RNase P RNA component class A
Rfam family: Bacterial RNase P class A
About the family: Ribonuclease P (RNase P) is a ubiquitous endoribonuclease, found in archaea, bacteria and eukarya as well as chloroplasts and mitochondria. Its best characterised activity is the generation of mature 5'-ends of tRNAs by cleaving the 5'-leader elements of precursor-tRNAs. Cellular RNase Ps are ribonucleoproteins.
Source: RNAcentral
GAAGUUGGUCGGAUGGUCGCUGGAAGGUUUACCUUUCAGAGGAAAGUCCGGGCUCCACAGAGCAAAGUGCUAGCUAACAGCUAGGUAUGGUGACAUAACGGAAAGUGCUGCAGAGAUUUAAACCGCCUAUUUCGAUAGGUAAGGGUGAGAAGGUGCGGUAAGAGCGCACCGCGCGUUUGGUGACAACCGUGGCAAGGUAAACCCCAC